This 470-nucleotide ribosomal RNA is filed under the name uncultured bacterium. Its description in RNAcentral is "bacterial SSU rRNA". It matches the Rfam family "Bacterial small subunit ribosomal RNA", at positions 335 to 800 of the family's 1533-position model. The record is from RNAcentral.
ACUCCUACGGGAGGCAGCAGUGGGGAAUAUUGGACAAUGGGGGAAACCCUGAUCCAGCCAUGCCGCGUGUGUGAAGAAGGCCUUCGGGUUGUAAAGCACUUUCAGUGGGGAGGAAAGGUUGAUGGUUAAUACCUAUCAGCUGUGACGUUACCCACAGAAGAAGCACCGGCUAACUCCGUGCCAGCAGCCGCGGUAAUACGGAGGGUGCAAGCGUUAAUCGGAAUUACUGGGCGUAAAGCGUGCGCAGGCGGUCUGUUAAGCGAGAUGUGAAAGCCCCCGGGCUCAACCUGGGAACUGCAUUUCGAACUGGCAGACUAGAGUCUUGUAGAGGGGUAGAAUUCCAGGUGUAGCGGUGAAAUGCGUAGAGAUCUGGAGGAAUACCGGUGGCGAAGGCGGCCCCUGGACAAAGACUGACGCUCAGGCACGAAAGCGUGGGAGCAAACAGGAUUAGAUACCCUGGUAGGUCAGUC